GAUCUCAACUCAUACGUGACUACCCCCCGAAAUUAAACACAUUAAAAAACGGGGGAAAAAAAAACUACCCCGG
This 73-nucleotide ribosomal RNA is filed under the name Phlebotomus papatasi. RNAcentral's name for it is "partial 28S ribosomal RNA". Lineage: Eukaryota; Metazoa; Arthropoda; Insecta; Diptera; Psychodidae. The record is from RNAcentral.